UAGGGAAUCUUCCACAAUGGACGCAAGUCUGAUGGAGCAACGCCGCGUGAGUGAAGAAGGUUUUCGGACCGUAAAGCUCUGUUGUUGGUGAAGAAGGAUAGAGGUAGUAACUGGCCUUUAUUUGACGGUAAUCAACCAGAAAGUCACGGCUAACUACGUGCCAGCAGCCGCGGUAAUACGUAGGUGGCAAGCGUUGUCCGGAUUUAUUGGGCGUAAAGCGAGCGCAGGCGGAAGAAUAAGUCUGAUGUGAAAGCCCUCGGCUUAACCGAGGAAUUGCAUCGGAAACUGUUUUCUUGAGUGCAGAAGAGGAGAGUAGAACUCCAUGUGUAGCGGUGGAAUGCGUAGAUAUAUGGAAGAAUACCAGUGGCGAAGGCGGCUCUCUGGUCUGCAACUGACGCUGAGGCUCGAAAGCAUGGGUAGCGAACAGGAUUAGAUACCCUGGUAGUCCAUGCCGUAAAACGAUGAGUGCUAA
This 472-nucleotide ribosomal RNA is filed under the name uncultured bacterium. Its description in RNAcentral is "partial 16S ribosomal RNA". It matches the Rfam family "Bacterial small subunit ribosomal RNA", at positions 355 to 819 of the family's 1533-position model. The record is from RNAcentral.